This 163-nucleotide small nuclear RNA is filed under the name Chinchilla lanigera (long-tailed chinchilla). RNAcentral's name for it is "U1 spliceosomal RNA (ENSCLAG00000018617.1)". It matches the Rfam family "U1 spliceosomal RNA". From Rfam's summary of the family: U1 is a small nuclear RNA (snRNA) component of the spliceosome (involved in pre-mRNA splicing). The record is from Rfam by way of RNAcentral. Lineage: Eukaryota; Metazoa; Chordata; Mammalia; Rodentia; Chinchillidae.
AUACUUACCUGGCAAGGGAGAUACCAUGAUCACGAAGGUGUUUCUCCCAGAGUGAGGCUCAUCCAUUGUACUCGGGAUGUUCUGACUCUUGUGAUUCCCCAAAUGCAGGAAACUCAACUGCAUAAUUUGUGGUGGGGGGGUACUGCGUUCACGCUUUCCCCUG